This 230-nucleotide long non-coding RNA is filed under the name Elaeis guineensis (African oil palm). Its description in RNAcentral is "long non-coding RNA (EGUI_LNC046024)". The record is from RNAcentral. Lineage: Eukaryota; Viridiplantae; Streptophyta; Magnoliopsida; Arecales; Arecaceae.
GAGGUUCCUUCGAAAUCCUUGGGCUUACUUUACCCCCUCUCUCUCUCGCUGAGCUCCUUGAUUCUUUUCUACUGUUGCCUAGUCUCCUCUCUGACUUGACCGUCGGAGGGUCCCCACCGGAGUCACCUCCGGUCAGUGCGGACUUCUUUUGCAGGUGCUCGUUCCCGACGACCAGACGAUGAGGGGAUUGGCCGCAACAGGUUUGGCACGCUAGGUAGGGGGGACGACAG